This 468-nucleotide ribosomal RNA is filed under the name uncultured bacterium. RNAcentral describes it as "partial 16S ribosomal RNA". It matches the Rfam family "Bacterial small subunit ribosomal RNA", at positions 28 to 507 of the family's 1533-position model. The record is from RNAcentral.
GACGAACGCUGGCGGCGUGCUUAACACAUGCAAGUCGAACGGAAAGGCCCUGCUUUUGUGGGGUGCUCGAGUGGCGAACGGGUGAGUAACACGUGAGUAACCUGCCCUUGACUUUGGGAUAACUUCAGGAAACUGGGGCUAAUACCGGAUAGGAGCUCCUGCUGCAUGGUGGGGGUUGGAAAGUUUCGGCGGUUGGGGAUGGACUCGCGGCUUAUCAGCUUGUUGGUGGGGUAGUGGCUUACCAAGGCUUUGACGGGUAGCCGGCCUGAGAGGGUGACCGGCCACAUUGGGACUGGGAUACGGGCCCAACUCCUAAGGGGGGGAGGAGUGGGGAAUAUUGCACAAUGGGCGGAAGCCUGAUGCAGCAACGCCGCGUGCGGGAUGACGGCCUUCGGGUUGUAAACCGCUUUCGCCUGUGACGAAGCGUGAGUGACGGUAAUGGGUAAAGGAGCACCGGCUAACUAAGUG